AUUAAUUUUUUUAUUCGAACUGAUGUUGUGGUGUAAUAUGUAUGAUAUGAUAGGUAUAAACGUGUGGUACAUAAUGGCAUGCUCUACGUAAAUGUUAACGUCGUAUUUUGUAAAUUUUUCGUCAAAAUUUCACGUAUCAUUCGGGCAUGUUGCUUUUUAGAGGAUUUAUCUGAUGUAGAAUAGCACUUGUUUACAAUACUCAAGCUAAGAAUGAACACCUCUGGUGCUUCCGUACCUCCCCGUGGCCAUAUCGCCACAACUACAUCAAGCACUAGAAUGCAGAUAAACCCGAAAAUACAUUUUGAUUGCAAUUAUUUUUCAAAAAUAGACGGUCAACUUAAAUUUUUUGAAAUAUUACUCAGUUGCGUAGUUUUAUUUGUCAUGACACAGACAUACCCACGCGUAUACGCGAGCGAAGGGUAUGGAUAUGAAACAUUGAGAGAUCUGUGUGACUUUGUUAUACUAUGGAAUACAAUUUUCAUUAUUUUAUACAUGUUUCACGUUACUGAAAAGUUUCUUCAAAUACCUUGGUUUAUAAUCGAGCUUGUGAGUGCCGCAUUUUUUGGAGUCUUGUAUUUUCUUUGUGGACUGUUGUUUAUCUCAUAUAUGAUGUAUAGGCAUUCUGGCAACACUGUGUUGUUGUUCAUGACUGUUGUGCUGGCAUCCAUAUUUAUUUACGACGCUUACAUAAAAUUCCGAUAUGUGCAAGGAGGACAAAUUUCGCUCGGCCGAAUCUUCAUUGAAAGUGCAGAGAUUCAUCAAUCAGGAUCUUGGUAUUGAAUGUUCUUUUUGGUUGCUCAACCACAUCCGUAAUUAUUAUUUUAAUGGUACAUACUAAUGAAAUAUUUGUCUUCUGCAAUCCAUUCAAGUUUUUGUUUUGUUGUUUUACAUUUUUUUUUAGUACGCAAUUAGUUCGUAUUAAAAUCCUAAAAUUUUCAAAAAUGCUUCAUUGUUUACUUCACGCAAAAAAAACAACUAAACUAAAUGAAUAUUUUUUACCUUUGUGAGGUAUUAAAUUUAUUUUUAAGUGAAUAACUACUCACCUAAUUUGAUAUUUUUACGUUUCAUAAAUCAAAUUAUACAUAAUUUUUA
This is a long non-coding RNA of Planococcus citri (citrus mealybug), 1092 nucleotides long. RefSeq lists it as uncharacterized. NCBI's taxonomy places the organism in Eukaryota, Metazoa, Arthropoda, Insecta, Hemiptera, Pseudococcidae. The record is from RefSeq and is a predicted model, not a curated record. The transcript has 5 exons.